Molecule: long non-coding RNA, 3087 nt
Filed under: Sus scrofa (pig)
Lineage: Eukaryota; Metazoa; Chordata; Mammalia; Artiodactyla; Suidae
Description: lncRNA (ENSSSCG00050016886.1)
Rfam family: SOX2 overlapping transcript exon 3 (bases 282-557)
Source: RNAcentral
CUACUACAUCAAUCAGACCACAAGGUGCCCUUUCAGGAAAGUAAUGGAGUAUAAUCAACCUAACUUCAUUGAUCUACAAGGACUACUGAAAAUUAUAAAACUUUCUUUGGGAUUCUAACAUGCCAGAAACCACUAGAAAAAGAAGUUUGAUAUCUCAGAGGUUCUCCUCAUCGUGGUAUAGAGACCAAAAUGAUACUUUCAAAAAGCCUGACAGGUUUCUCCGGAAAAGUGACCAUCCAUGGAAUGAAUGAAAUGUUCCCUUUCUAUUCCAGGGAUUGCAGUGGCAAAGCUAGGCUAGGUCUUGGAGGCUGGUGUAAGGCGAAGCGGGUGAAGGCAGGAGGCUGAUGGAGAGACUGAGGGGAAUAAAAGCCGAAAUGGAUUCACGGUGCCUUGGAUGGAGGACGAGAGGGGAAUUGCAAGCUCCUUCAACUCGUUCUGUCCGGUGAGAAGUGAUCAAGCUUGGGCUGACAAGAGGCUCAGGGAGCCCUCACGUUCUUUCGCUUUUUUACCUGCCAAUCAAACUGCUACAAGACAACACCCUGAUCUGGCAUGGACAUGGUACAGACAGGCAUGCAGAAGUAACUAGACGUCCAACACAUGCCAAGGUCUUGCGGGCCCAGGAUUUCGAACAAAAGAAAACUCGGUAACGUGACUGUAAAUCAAGGGCAUUUGAGACCAUAGACGCGCGCACCACUGCAAGGGUUAAUUGGAGGAGAGGGAAGAGAGAGGCUCCACCUUGCAGUCUGUGUGAACUUCGGCCAGAAAAAGAGCUGGAGCUCCAGCCGCCGCCGGUGGGAGCCCUGCAGUCCGCGGCACGCGGUCCCUUGUUGUGGGGCAGGUGUGGCGCCGGGUAGAGGCGGGGCGCAACCUGGAAACUGCCGCCUGAGCUGUGGCCCGCGCCCUGCCUACCCUUUGGCGCAUCUGUUUCUUUAUUGCCUGAAAGCCAUCCGACGCGUUGAAGGCGCGAUUAUCGACAAUUUGUCAGCCCGAUUUUGUCGCUUGCAAUAACUUUUGGUGAAGUUUCACUCUCAGGCCCUUGAGUUUCGGGAUGAGGAAAUGUGGUAUGAGAGCAUUGUCCUGUGUUUGGCUUCUCAUUUCCACAGGACCCAGGCAGGCAGAAGAAGGGAAAAGAAAGUUAAUCCGACUGCAGUCACUCUGGCACACAAGCCAUGGGGAAACGGGAGAGAAACUUGUUCCUUCUCCUACAAAACUCUCCCCUUCCCCCUCAAGCCCCUCCCCCCACCAGGUCCUUUUUAAUAGAUCAGUCCCUCAUCUCCCCCCCCCUCCACACACGUAUUCUUGGGCCCACAAUUCUCUUGAGCAACCUAGGACUGAGUUUUUGUGUUUUGUUUGUUUUGCUUGCUUUUUCCUUUGUGUUUGUGGAUGUGGAUUGUUUCUCAGGGACCAGGGGCCAGGACCGCAGCUCUAAACCUGAACCGUUCACCUUCAUGAUCCCUUUCUUCCCCUCUUCUUGAUUGGUGGCUGUCGUGGCCAAGACCAUGCCCUUUCCUGAGCAUGGAGCAGUGGGGCAGCUGCUCUGAAGCAGCUGCUGUGCCUUACCCCUCUUUUCUCAAUCAUUAAAAUUCAAUUUCAAAAUUUCUGUCUUUAACAAUUUCCUAAGGAGACUAUGAAGAAUGCCAAAAGAGUGGGCCUUUUUUCAAGUGGUCAUGUUUCAGCAAAAGGCAGGCACAGUCCAAGUUGCCCUAGGUUGUGCCCUUAUAGGAGCAGGGCAGUGGAUGUUGUGUAAAAUGGAGUGCUGUGCCCACCUUGAACGAGAGACGAGCUCUGGCAGGUCAAGAACCUGGGGAGAGCAACUCCAGCUUUUCCAUCCACAUCACCCCUGCAGCUUGAUGGAGCACAGCACCAAGCAGGAAGUUCUCAUUUUUUUUUUUUUUUUAAUGUCCACACCCAUGACAUACAGAAGUUUCUGGCCCAGGGAUUGAAUCUAAGUUUCAGCUAUGACCUAUGUGGCAGCUAUAGCAAUGCCAGAUCCCUUAACCCGCUGCACCAAGCUGGGGAUCAAACCCUCACCUCUGCAGCAACCCAAGCUGCUGCAGUUAGAUUUUUAACCCACUGCACCACAGCUGGAACUCUGGGGAAGUUCUCUUUAAUAGUUCCUCACUUUCUUCCUUGAUCCAAAAAGAAAAAUAUUUGUAUUCGGAAAGUUCUCUUCUGCUAAGAAGUUUCUAUUAACAUCUCUUUCUCCUUUCAGUGAAGUCUGUUUCUGGGUCAAGGGGAGUGUUUUAAGAAACAGAAAAAUAGAGACACACACAUAACUGCAAUAGGUAGCUGAACUUCAUCAGGAGCCUUGAGUAGCCAAGAAAACAUUCUUCUGAUGCAACUUCAGAGUUUCAUCCCCUGCUCCAAAAUUUAUCAUGUAAUUAGUACCCAAAAUGCCUCCUUUAACCAACACCCAUUGCAACCUAUGGAAAAGAUGUAGCAUUUUUUUUUUGAAAUUCUAGAUGGACCUAAGGAUUACCUGACUCCUAUUGCCAUCACCUCUUAAUCACACAAAACUGUUUUCCUAAACACCAACCUUUUUCCCUAUAAAAACCACUGACCCCUCAGUAUACCUAGUACCUUUUUUCCUCCCUUUAAAUUAUUAUUCCUUACUCUUUUCCGUUCUGGGGCCCUGAGCCAGAUUCUCAGAAUUAAUCCUGAGUUCUCCCAAAUGCCAUGACAAGUUAGAAGGGAAAUUGGGGGACUGCACUGAAAAUACAUGGUAUAGAGAGUAAAUGUUACAGCUGUUGACAAGUGGCAGUUUGGGGUAUCAGCAAUGAAUUCCACAUUUUUCUAUAGGCUUCUUUUUACUUCACUUUAGGAUCCACUGAUCCUAAUAGAAACAAGUUAAAACUGCAGUUCCCUUCGUGGCGCAGUGGUUAACGAAUCCGACUAGUAACCAUGAGGUUGUGGGUUUGAUCCCUGGCCUUGCUCAGUGGGUUAAGGAUCCGGCGUUGCUGUGAGCUGUGGUGUAGGCCGGUGGCUGCAGCUCCGAUUAGACCCCUAGCUUGGGAAUCUCCAUAUGCCCCUGGAGCAGCCAUAGAAAAGGCAAAAAGACCAAAAAAAAAAAAAAAAAAAAAAAAAAAA